This 223-nucleotide long non-coding RNA is filed under the name Mytilus galloprovincialis (Mediterranean mussel). The record is from RNAcentral. Lineage: Eukaryota; Metazoa; Mollusca; Bivalvia; Mytilida; Mytilidae.
GGGUCCCUGCCAGUCAUGCUUCAGUGAUUCCCUAUAUAAUCUCCCAUUUUCCAAGAUUAGUGUGUGGGGGGGGGGGGGGGGGGGGCUGGAAAAAAACCUAAAUCCGCCUCUGCUAAUUGGGAAGUCAUUUUGUCUGAUACACACAUAUAAAUACCUAUUACAUGUAUGUGCAAAAUGCUUCAAAUAUAUGCAUAUAUAAUAAUGGUGCGUCUAAAAACCGUUA